Molecule: RNA transcript, 2310 nt
Organism: Crotalus tigris (Tiger rattlesnake)
Lineage: Eukaryota; Metazoa; Chordata; Lepidosauria; Squamata; Viperidae
Exons: 12
Source: RefSeq, a predicted model, not a curated record
GAUCACAUGAUCCUGGGACUACUAAUAAGGUCGUAAGUGUGAAAAACCGUCAUAAAUCACUUUUUUCAGGGCUGUAACUUUCAACGGUCACUAAAUGAUCUGUUGUAAAUUGAAGACUACCUGCAAUAUGUGUACUUGAUCCUGCUUCCAAUAGUUUUCCUCUACCUUCCAUUGAAAUUUCUCUAAUCACUUCACAACUCUGAAGUCUAUGCUUCAGAAAGACAGUCAUGACGUUAACUACGUUUGUUCCUGUUUGGGGCAUCAUAUCAAAGUUAGAUAUAUUUAUAAACUCAAAGAGGAUACAAGGACAGCAUUUAAAAUAUGAAAAUAAAUUGGAAUCCUCCCAUUGGAGGAAGAAAAAAAAACUGUGUGAAACAAUAGAUGUUUCGGAAGUAAACCUGCAAACAUGAAAAAAAAUAAAAAUUUGUUCUGUUUCCGUGAAGCAUGUGGUUUAAUAUUUCACUAUAACUGAAGUACAAGUUGUGAAGCUGGGUACUUUGAACCUGGGCUUUAUUUUUUGUUUUUGUUUCUAGUUUAUAAUAUUUGGAAAUUGAAAAAAGAAUAUAUUUGCUACUAGCAAGCUCAUUCCUGAAGAAAGAAGAAACGUCGCCAUUUAUUAGGGCAGCGAAUGCUUCAAAAUUUAUUUAGAAGAGAUUUAAGAACAGAGUCUCUCUCCUGGUCAUUAAAAAUCUCUAACUUUUUUCUCUUCGAGCCUGAAGUCACAUUACCAGUAAUGGUUGUCCUCAACGUAAGACUGAAAUUGAGCCCUGAAUUACAGUGGAAGAGGCCAAAGGCCACCAAAGGAGUCAGCCACCGGGCCGCCCAGACACUGCUAAACCCAGAACAUCUGGAAAAGAUGUUCGGCGCUCUUCUGCUGCAGGAAGAGCGACGUAGAGGACCUUCCUGUGCCUCCUGACAGAACUGACGAGGCACAUGAACAGGCGGACCAGAAGGGAGAAUGGUGGACACAGAUUCGUGUGUCCGAUGGACGCAGGCCUUCCUCCCAAGGGGUAAGGAUGCUUCUGCGACAUGGCCAGUCAGGGCUCAUCCCUCAUAACCGGAUGGGGAAAGGGAGGAAUUCUCACUUGGGGGAACCUGGCCAGCCUAGCAAAAGCAAGAGGAGCCUUUUGGAUUCAUGGAAAGUUCUUGAUGGCUUCCUAUCAGCCAAAUCUUCCAUGAUCUGCUUUGUCUUUCCCUGUUGAAUGCAGUCUUUCCCUCCUGGGGAAGAUAAACGUUCCACAACAUGCAGGGGACUUUUAAUUUAUACUUUCAAUUGUUACUUGCAGGGUUUGAUGGGUGUUCGUGCCACCGCCCGGAGCCCCAGGAAGGAAGAGGUGAUGCCAGUUCUCAUUUCAGUGAGAAAUGAGAAGAUAGCGAAGUGGAGGCCGCGGCUCUCAACCAUCUGGGAGACCUGCACUGAGUCGGAUCCUUCGGAAGAAUACCGACCAAGAGAGGUGCAGGAGGAAAGCAGUGCCUGCCUAUCAAGAGAGGAAAAGGAAGAGCACUGGAGGCCGCGACUCCCCCCCAGAUCAGAGACCUGCAGAGAAUCGGACGAAGAAGACCAGCCGGCGGAGGAGCAGCUCUCUCCUACUGGGGAGAAGACGCAUACUUCGGAGGAUUCGAUGGAAGUCCUGGUGGGCUCCCGGAACAACAGCCUGGAGGAUUUUGACUCCAUUUCUGCCCUCUUGGAUGAGGAGUCUGAGGGAAGCUGGGAGCAGGCUGCAGAGGCUUCGGAGGCCAGCCUUUCGUCCAGUCCGUGGGAUUCUCCCGAAGAAGGGGAAGCCUCGCUGGACAAUGUCAGCAGCCUGGAGGAGGACUCCCUGGACCUCAGUCUCUAAUUAAAAGAGACGCUUCCCCAGAUGCCUCUCCAGAAGGCAGAUCGGAGGAGGAUGAACCAGUCCCAGGCACAUCAGGAGACGGAUGGCGGAAUCAGCCCCAGCGGCGAAGCCCUGCGAGGAGCCACUUUCCAACGAGGAAGUUCCUGCGUCUUGUUAAUGUUAUUGUUGUAAUUCUUUUUGUUGUACCUGUUGUUGUUGUGCAUCUUCUUGUUUUUGUUCUUGUUGUUUGAGAAUAAAACUAAAAAAUUCUUUAUAUCUGCUAAUUUAGUUUAAACCUAGUUUCAUUACACUUUUGUUAGGAAUAACAAACUUUUCAUUAAAUGCAGAAUUUCAGCAAACUUCUUUGUCUGUUUUCUCGUAUUUUUUCCACCGUUCUAUGGGAUACAGUGAUUAGUAUUCACUUACAAUAUUAAUGGAAACCUGACACUUCCAGAGGUUCCUCAGCUACGCGCAAGUAGUCCUCAACUUACCA